AAACUAAUUUUAUUUGGCGGCAUUUCAUCUAAUUAGAGGAAUCUGUCUUUUAAUCGAUAAUCCACGAUAAAUUUCACUUCAUUUAUAAAUUUAUAUACCGCCAUUUAAAGAAUUAAUUAUAAAAUUUUAUUCUCAACAAAAUAUAAUAUGUUAGGUCAAGGUGCAGUUAAUAUUGAAGCUAAGAUGUAUUACAUUAAAUAAUAUUUAAAAUCAUUAAAUAAAUCUAAAAAAAUAGAAUUUAAAAGCAAUGUUAUAAUAAUAAUUUAUCAUGAAUCAGAUAACAAAUGUGCACACAUCGCCC
This 301-nucleotide ribosomal RNA is filed under the name Tegenaria ariadnae. RNAcentral's name for it is "partial 12S ribosomal RNA". Lineage: Eukaryota; Metazoa; Arthropoda; Arachnida; Araneae; Agelenidae. The record is from RNAcentral.